RNAcentral lists this ribosomal RNA (461 nucleotides) under Latilactobacillus curvatus. RNAcentral's name for it is "bacterial SSU rRNA". It matches the Rfam family "Bacterial small subunit ribosomal RNA", at positions 117 to 564 of the family's 1533-position model. Lineage: Bacteria; Bacillati; Bacillota; Bacilli; Lactobacillales; Lactobacillaceae. The record is from RNAcentral.
GUGGGUAACCUGCCCUAAAGUGGGGGAUAACAUUUGGAAACAGAUGCUAAUACCGCAUAAAACCUAGCACCGCAUGGUGCAAGGUUGAAAGAUGGUUUCGGCUAUCACUUUAGGAUGGACCCGCGGUGCAUUAGUUAGUUGGUGAGGUAAAGGCUCACCAAGACCGUGAUGCAUAGCCGACCUGAGAGGGUAAUCGGCCACACUGGGACUGAGACACGGCCCAGACUCCUACGGGAGGCAGCAGUAGGGAAUCUUCCACAAUGGACGAAAGUCUGAUGGAGCAACGCCGCGUGAGUGAAGAAGGUUUUCGGAUCGUAAAACUCUGUUGUUGGAGAAGAACGUAUUUGAUAGUAACUGAUCAGGUAGUGACGGUAUCCAACCAGAAAGCCACGGCUAACUACGUGCCAGCAGCCGCGGUAAUACGUAGGUGGCAAGCGUUGUCCGGAUUUAUUGGGCGUAAA